AGGUAGUAAAAACAUUAUAACAAACCUAUUUACUACGGCGGCAUUUCAUUUAAUUAGAGGAACCUGUCUGAUAAUAGAUAAUCCACUAUAAUUUUAACUUUUUAUAAUAGCCUAUAUACCGCCAUCUAAAGAAUCAAACUUAAUAAUUUAUUCUAAUCAAAAACUAAAAAGUUAGGUCAAGGUGUAGCCCAUUUUUAAGUCUAGAUGUGUUACAUUAAAAAAAUUUAAGAAUAAGAUUCUAAAGAUAAAUUGAAAAAGAAUCUAACAGCAAUAAAAAAUCAAUAUCUUUUUAUAAACUAAAUAAUAAAUGUGC
Molecule: ribosomal RNA, 313 nt
Filed under: cf. Tobias sp. Ecuador MR440
Lineage: Eukaryota; Metazoa; Arthropoda; Arachnida; Araneae; Thomisidae
Description: partial 12S ribosomal RNA
Source: RNAcentral